Molecule: long non-coding RNA, 4196 nt
Filed under: Sus scrofa (pig)
Lineage: Eukaryota; Metazoa; Chordata; Mammalia; Artiodactyla; Suidae
Description: lncRNA (ENSSSCG00000050782.1, ENSSSCG00065050725.1, ENSSSCG00090008931.1, ENSSSCG00130020885.1)
Source: RNAcentral
GGCCACAUCCAUGGCAUAUGGAAGUUCCCAGGCUAGGGGUUGAAUGGGAGCUACAGCUGCUGGACUACACCACAACCACAGCAAUAGCAACACCAGAUCUGAGCCAUGCCUACAGCCUACACCACAGCUCAUGGCAAUGCUGGAUCCUUAACCCACUGAGCUAGGCCAGGGAUGGAACCCUCAACCUCAUGGUUCCUAGUCAGAUUUGUUAACAGCUGCACCACAAUGGGAACUCCACAAAUGCUGUAUUUUUAAUAGUACCCAAUAUUGCCUGCUAGUGUCUCCAGAAAGGUCUAUGUGGCACCAUGUAGACCAUAGGCUCCUGAUCCAGUUCUCAUCAGGUCAGGAAAUAUGAGAGCCAUGAAAGCCUUCCAUUUGCUGGUAGUAGAGUCUUUGACAGAUAGUAAUUACUACAUGGAUUAGGAACCUAUGGCCUGUAUGGUGCUGAGUUCUUCAAUUGGAGGUUAAACAAAUCAAAUCGGGAGAAUGGAGGCAAGGUGCAUAAAAGAGGCAGAUAAACUCAAAUGAGUUAUUGCCUCAGACUCUGAGUCUUUUCAUAUUUCCACUGAAUACACUGUGCUGUCUUUAAAUUUCUUAAUAAUAAUUGAAUGACAUCUGCAUUAUUGUUUAGACUUUCUUAGCAUUUUUAAUUUUCAUAUAAUAUAUCUAGAUCUUAGAGUGCUUUUGUAUUGACUAUCCACAUUCCAGGCUUGCCACGAAUUCUACAGAUCUAAGAGAUUCUCCUGAUCCCAAUGUCAUAGAAUGAAACUCAAAGGCUUUUAAGUAUGAGCCUUGGUUUAAGUCAAGGUACUGAUGACCUUUAUUAGCUAUGCUACUUAAUACACAUCUGAUUCUCAGCCCCUUCUUUUGUUAAAUGGGGCUAAUAUCUGCGAACAGAAACACAUUUAGUAGAACAUCUGUGAAACAGUAGAGUCUAAUAAAGACAAUUUUUGAUAUUGCUAUGUAAUUUGGUUAUUAUAUCUACUGCUCCGUGAAGCUAGGACAACAGAUUUUUAAAAUGUAGUAAUUAAGCUAACACACAUAAUUUUCACAAACUAAACAAAUUUACCCAGUGCCUAGGAUAAGAAACAGAACAAUUCUAUCACCACUGAAGAUUGCCCCAUCCAUGUUCUCUUCCAGUCAUAAAUCACAUCCUCCAAGAGGGUACUCCCUAUCAUGGUUUCUGAUAUAUUGACUAAUUUUGCCUGUUUUUGAAAUUUAUAUCUACUUUCUCAAUCCUCAAAUGUGUCGGUAUGUUACAUGACUAAUAGAACUUUAUACAUCUGGGUAAGUCAAGAACUUUGAGAUGGGGUUAAUGGCUUGAUUGACCACAUGAGUCUUUAAAAGCAGAAAAACUUUCCUAGUGACAAUGAGUGAGGGAGAGACAGAGCCAGAGAAAGAGAGAGAGAGAAAGAUGGGAGAAAGAGAAAUACAGAGAGAGAAAACAGGAUGAGAAAGACAGGAAGAAAAACAGAGAGAGAAAAGGAGAGACUGAUAGAGGGAGAGAAACAUAAAGAUACAAAGAGAGACAGGCAAAGAGUGAAAGACCAAAAGAGACGGAGAGAGAGAAUCCAACAUUCCUGGCAUUAAUAUAGAGGAAGAGGCCAGGACAUGAGGAAAGCAGAAAGGGUCUAGAAGUUGGGAAUGUCUUCAGAAAGUACCCAAACCUGGAGUGUGCAGAAAGGAACAUAAGACACCUUUAUUUUAGUCCAAAGAGACCUGAACAGGCUUUUGAUCUAAAGAACUGUGUUGGAAUAUCUGUGUUAUUUUAAGGCAUUAAGUAUGUGCUUAUUUGUUACAGUAGCAAUAGAAAACAAAGAACGGUAUAUACUUAAUGCUGGAAUUGCUGAGUCACAGGAUAAGCUUACACUUUAUUGGAAACUGUGAAACAGCUUCCAACGUGGUUUUAUCAAUUUAUACUCCCAAAGAGAGUGCAUGAGAAUUCUAAUUCCUCCAUAUCCUCAACUUUUGGAAGUUUCUUGUCACUUCCACUCUUUUAGUAAAACCACAUAUACUGUCAUUCUGUUUUUCAUUUCUCCAAAAAUAAAUGAGGUAGAAGAUUCUUCAUGUUUAUGGGGCAAGCGGGCAUCCCGUCUUGUGAUGUGACUGGCAAGUCUCUCACUUAUUUUUCAAUGUCUUUUCCUUAUUCAACCAUGUAGGAUUUUUUAAAAAUAUUCCACAUAUGGGUCACUUUUCAGAAACAGUAUCACCAGUAUCUUCACAUUUUCUGGUCUGUUCAUUUUGUCUUCCACUCUCUUACUGGUUGAUGAAGGCCAAAGAUUAAUAUGUUCUUAUCAUCUUUGUGUAAUGUUUAAGGAAAAUUUUCUUAUUCUAAGAUCACAAAGAUUUUCACCUGCAAUUUUUUCCUAAACCCCUUAAUUUUUGUCUUUUAUAUUUAGGUACACAAUCUGUCCUUAAGAUAAAAGUUUUAAAUCUCCUGUUACAAAUGAGAAAGGUCAAAUGAGGUAUAGAGAUUUAAACAGCAAAUAGGAAAUGAGAACAGAUUAAAUCUUGGUCUUCUAUUGUGCUUGUCUACAAACACUGCUUUAUCUACUGACUUCAUGAAAUCUUCAUGAUAUUCCAAAAUCAAAUUGAUCUUUCCCUUUCUUAGCCCCAUUUCUCAAUACCGCUCAUGAAGUACACUUUGUAACAACUGUAGAUACUGUGUGCAUUUGUGCUUGUUGCCUUCCCUGCUGAAUUGUUAGCUCCUGUGAUCAAUGGCUGCUUCAUUAUUCCUCUUUAUGGGUCUCACAGAGGUAGCCCAGCAUAAAACUGGUGGUGCUCAUUACAUGGUUGUUAAAAGAAAGGAAGAGUAAAUGUUAAUUUCUCAGGUUUACAUCUAUAUUUUGCAUGGCAACAAUAUAUAUGACUCAAGUCAUUUAAAAAACUUGUUACAAAUAAUAUUAUUUCGGCAUAAAAAAUGAUUUGAGAAAAAAAAACUUAAAGAGAGGCAUUUUUAGAUAACCAUGAGAAAAGGCAUGCUGAAAUUUUAUAGUUUUCUGUUCUCAGAGGGUUCAUUCUUAGUUACUUGUACUUAAAUUAAAAAGCAUAUCAAGUCAAUGGAGCCUGGUAUCCUGAACUACAUUUUUAUGUUGUCAGCAUCUUUAGUUCUCAAUUCCUUUACAGACUCAGGCUGCCUUCAGAGAGCCCUUUAUGUUGGCUGAAAGUGCCUUCCUAUAUACUCUUUCUCAUUGGUUCUUUGUCAAGCUCAAAGAACUUGAGCUUUCUGGUGUAUUUGCUGUUUUUCCUCUCUAAACUACUUAUCCUAUAACCCCAUAGUUUUCCAUCAUUUAAAAAAUAUAGGAGUUCCUAUUAUGGCUUAGCAGGUAAAGAACACAACACAAUGCCCAUGAAGAUGUGGGUUCGAUCCCUGAACUCGCUCAGUGGGUUAGGGUUCUGGCAUUGCAUGAGCUGAGGAAUAGGUCACAGAUUGGGCUUAUCAGGCAUUGCCAUAGCUGUGGUGUAGGCUCUGCAGCUGCAGAUCCUAUUCAACCCCUCACCUGGGAACUUCCAUAUGCCCAGGUGUGGCCAUAAAAAUUAAUUCAUAAAAAUAAAAAAAUGUACUUAUAACAGUGUUUUCUGAGUAUGUUGUUAAUUGUCCAUUGUCCGACUUUAUUUCCUUGUUAACGUCAAUGUGAGAGCUAUGCAACAUGAUCAGUUCAGUUUAUCACAUGGUCUUGAUUCUACUCUGCACUCACACAUUCGUGAUGUCUUAGGAUUUCUACCACAAUUGUUCCUCCACUUGGAUAGUGGAAAAAGUAAAUGAUUUGAAGUGAGGGAGGCCCUGGUUUAAAUUCUUUAUCAAUUACUACUUUGGACAAAGUUCCUUAAACUCUCUUAACCUCUGUUUAUUUUUUAAAUAUGAGAUUAUCAUGAGAACCAAAAAAUGUAAAUUAAUGCAACACACAACACAAUGUCUGCAAAGCACUACAUCCUCAAUAAAUGCUAAUUGCCUUUUCCUUCCUGGGGAAACAAAAUUGAAAGGGAAAUAAAGGAUCCUGAAGGACACGUCAGAGUGUAUAUAAGGCUAAUAGGGGAGCCAGUUAGAACUCUUGAGAAUACUCUGGUGAUGGUGAAGGACAAAGAUGGCAAAAUAAAAUCUUUAUAGACGAAGAAGCUACCAGUAAGGAGUAAAGAAACAGGGAUUGUUAGAGCAAUGGUACACUGGAGAAUGCUGCCCUGCUUAACAUGUGCUG